This 458-nucleotide ribosomal RNA is filed under the name uncultured bacterium. Its description in RNAcentral is "partial 16S ribosomal RNA". It matches the Rfam family "Bacterial small subunit ribosomal RNA", at positions 338 to 795 of the family's 1533-position model. The record is from RNAcentral.
CCUACGGGUGGCAGCAGUGGGGAAUAUUGCACAAUGGGGGAAACCCUGAUGCAGCGACGCCGCGUGAGUGAAGAAGUAAUUCGUUACGUAAAGCUCUAUCAGCAGGGAAGAAAUACUGACCUUACGGUCAGCAGACGGUACCUGAGUAAGAAGCCCCGGCUAACUACGCGCCAGCAGCCGCGGUAAUACGUAGGGGGCAAGCGUUAUCCGGAUUUGCUGGGUGUAAAGGGCGCGUAGACGGUGCGGCAAGUCUGGAGUGAAAUGCCGCAGCUUAACUGCGGAACUGCUUUGGAAACUGGCGAACUAGAGUGCGGGAGGGGUAAGCGGAAUGCCUAGUGUAGCGGUGAAAUGCGUAGAUAUUAGGCGGAACACCGGUGGCGAAGGCGGCUUACUGGACCGUAACUGACGUUGAGGCUCGAAAGCGUGGGGAGCAAACAGGAUUAGAUACCCUGGUAGUC